Molecule: long non-coding RNA, 440 nt
Organism: Oncorhynchus keta (chum salmon)
Lineage: Eukaryota; Metazoa; Chordata; Actinopteri; Salmoniformes; Salmonidae
Exons: 3
Source: RefSeq, a predicted model, not a curated record
AUUAGAGCAUGACAUCACUGAUCAAUACAAUAUUAAAUCUGGAAGAGAGGUGAGAGAUCAGAUUGACCUGCUACGGCCAGUGUGUAUGUGUGUGUCAGCCAGAUAAUGCAGGGUUAAGAAUGUGAUAAUGUGUGUGUCUGUAAUAAUGCAGGGUUCACCAACCCUGUUCCUGGAGAGAGACCCUCCUGUAGGUUUCAACUACAACCCUGUUCCUGGAGAGAGACCCUCCUGUAGGUUUCAACUACAACCCUGUUCCUGGAGAGUUUUUAGUCCAACUCUAGUCAAACGCACCUGGUUCUAAUAAUUAUCUUGUUGAUAAACUGAACCAGUUACACCUGGGGCUGGAGUUUAAACCUACAGGAGGGUACCUCUCCAGGAACAGGGUUGGAGUUUAAACCUACAGGAGGGUCUCUCUCCAGGAACAGGGUUGGAGUUUAAAC